Molecule: ribosomal RNA, 544 nt
Filed under: uncultured bacterium
Lineage: Bacteria
Description: bacterial SSU rRNA
Rfam family: Bacterial small subunit ribosomal RNA
Source: RNAcentral
AAUAGAUACCCCGGUAGUCCACCCCGUAAACGUUGGGAACUAGUUGUGGGGUCCUUCCCACGGAUUCCGUGACGCAGCUAACGCAUUAAGUUCCCCGCCUGGGGAGUACGGCCGCAAGGCUAAAACUCAAAGGAAUUGACGGGGACCCGCACAAGCGGCGGAGCAUGCGGAUUAAUUCGAUGCAACGCGAAGAACCUUACCAAGGCUUGACGUACACCAGAACACCCUAGAAAUAGGGGACUCUUUGGACACUGGUGAACAGGUGGUGCAUGGUUGUCGUCAGCUCGUGUCGUGAGAUGUUGGGUUAAGUCCCGCAACGAGCGCAACCCUCGUUCUAUGUUGCCAGCACGUAAUGGUGGGAACUCAUGGGAUACUGCCGGGGUCAACUCGGAGGAAGGUGGGGAUGACGUCAAAUCAUCAUGCCCCUUAUGUCUUGGGCUUCACGCAUGCUACAAUGGCCGGUACAAAGGGCUGCAAUACCGUGAGGUGGAGCGAAUCCCAAAAGCCGGUCUCAGUUCGGAUUGAGGUCUGCAACUCGACCUCA